This 249-nucleotide unclassified non-coding RNA is filed under the name uncultured fungus. Its description in RNAcentral is "partial contains 5.8S ribosomal RNA, internal transcribed spacer 2, and large subunit ribosomal RNA". The record is from RNAcentral. Lineage: Eukaryota; Fungi.
AACGCACAUUGCGCCCGCCAGCAUUCUGGCGGGCAUGCCUGUUCGAGCGUCAUUUCAACCCUCAAGCCCCGCUUGGUGUUGGGGCCCUACCGUCGGCGUAGGCCCUCAAAGGCAGUGGCGGACCCCCGCGGAGCCUCCUUUGCGCAGUAACUAACGUCUCGCACUGGGAUCCGGAGGGGCCCCCGCCGUAAAACCCCCAACUCUCCAAUGGUUGACCUCGGAUCAGGUAGGAAUACCCGCUGAACUUAA